CUGGACUCAGGAUGAACGCUAGCGGCAGGCUUAACACAUGCAAGUCGAGGGGCAUCGGGAGUAGCAAUACGUUGCCGGCGACCGGCGCAAGGGUGCGUAACGCGUGAGCAACGAUGCCCGUAUCAGGGGGAUAAUCCAUGGAAACGUGGUCUAAUACCCCCAUAGUAAUUAUGUAAGGCAUCUUAUAUAAUUUAAAGCUUUGGUGGAUACGGAUUGGCUCGCGUGACAUUAGCUAGAUGGUAAGGUAACGGCUUACCAUGGCUACGAUGUCUAGGGGUUCUGAGAGGAAGGCCCCCCACACUGGAACUGAGACACGGUCCAGACUCCUACGGGAGCAGCAGUGAGGAAUAUUGGACAAUGGAUGGAAAUCUGAUCCAGCCAUGCCGCGUAGCCAGGAAGACGGCCCUAUGGGUUGUAAACUGCUUUUGUAUGGGAGCAAUAAGGGCUACGCGUAGUCCGAUGAGAGUACCAUACGAAUAAGCACCGGCUAACUCCGUGCCAGCAGCCGC
This 509-nucleotide ribosomal RNA is filed under the name uncultured bacterium. Its description in RNAcentral is "bacterial SSU rRNA". It matches the Rfam family "Bacterial small subunit ribosomal RNA", at positions 18 to 518 of the family's 1533-position model. The record is from RNAcentral.